RNAcentral lists this ribosomal RNA (253 nucleotides) under uncultured bacterium. RNAcentral's name for it is "partial 16S ribosomal RNA". It matches the Rfam family "Bacterial small subunit ribosomal RNA", at positions 524 to 776 of the family's 1533-position model. The record is from RNAcentral.
UACGUAGGGUGCGAGCGUUAAUCGGAAUUACUGGGCGUAAAGUGUGCGCAGGCGGCCGAGCAAGUCGAGUGUGAAAUCCCCGGGCUUAACCUGGGAACUGCAUUUGAAACUGGCGGGCUUGAGUGUGGCAGAGGGGGGUGGAAUUCCGCGUGUAGCAGUGAAAUGCGUAGAGAUGCGGAGGAACACCGGUGGCGAAGGCGGCCCUCUGGACGGAUACUGACGCUGAGGCGCGAAAGCGUGGGGAUCAAACAGG